GGAGAGGUGUCCGAGUGGCUUAAGGAGCACGCUUGGAAAGCGUGUGUGUGUCAGAAAAGGCGCACCGCGGGUUCGAAUCCCGCCCUCUCCGCCA
RNAcentral lists this transfer RNA (94 nucleotides) under Candidatus Aminicenantota bacterium. RNAcentral describes it as "Candidatus Aminicenantes bacterium (hot springs metagenome) tRNA-Ser". It matches the Rfam family "tRNA". From Rfam's summary of the family: Transfer RNA (tRNA) molecules are approximately 80 nucleotides in length. Their secondary structure includes four short double-helical elements and three loops (D, anti-codon, and T loops). Further hydrogen bonds mediate the characteristic L-shaped molecular structure. tRNAs have two regions of fundamental functional importance: the anti-codon, which is responsible for specific mRNA codon recognition, and the 3' end, to which the tRNAs corresponding amino acid is attached (by aminoacyl-tRNA synthetases). tRNAs cope with the degeneracy of the genetic code in two manners: having more than one tRNA (with a specific anti-codon) for a particular amino acid; and 'wobble' base-pairing, i.e. permitting non-standard base-pairing at the 3rd anti-codon position. The record is from RNAcentral. Lineage: Bacteria; Candidatus Aminicenantota.